UACGUAUGGGGCAAGCGUUAUCCGGAAUUAUUGGGCGUAAAGAGUGCGUAGGUGGUUACCUAAGCGCAAGGUUUAAUCUUGAGGCUCAACCUCAUUCUGCCUUGCGAACUGGGCUACUUGAGUGCAGGAGGGGAAAGCGGAAUUCCCAGUGUAGCGGUGAAAUGCGUAGAUAUUGGGAAGAACACCGGUGGCGAAGGCGGAUUUCUGGACUGUAACUGACACUGAGGCACGAAAGCGUGGGGAGCAAACAGGAUUAGAUACCCUGGUAGUCCCU
This 274-nucleotide ribosomal RNA is filed under the name uncultured prokaryote. RNAcentral describes it as "partial 16S ribosomal RNA". It matches the Rfam family "Bacterial small subunit ribosomal RNA", at positions 524 to 798 of the family's 1533-position model. The record is from RNAcentral.